GUCUACAGCCAUGCUACCCUGAACAAGUGUGAUACUGUCUGAUCUCGGAAGCUAAGCAGGGUCGGACCUAGUUAGUACUUGGAUGGGAGACCACCUAGGAAGACGAGGUGCUGUAGGCA
RNAcentral lists this ribosomal RNA (119 nucleotides) under Pteropus alecto (black flying fox). The record is from RNAcentral. Lineage: Eukaryota; Metazoa; Chordata; Mammalia; Chiroptera; Pteropodidae.